Mus musculus (house mouse) is the source of this 602-nucleotide long non-coding RNA. RefSeq annotates it as predicted gene, 41321. The record is from RefSeq and is a predicted model, not a curated record. The transcript is spliced from 3 exons. NCBI's taxonomy places the organism in Eukaryota, Metazoa, Chordata, Mammalia, Rodentia, Muridae.
UUGUUAGUUUUCUAUGGCUAUGAAGAAACAGCAUGACCUUGCAUACAGUUUUAGAAGAUGUUCAAGAUCGUGCUGUGAGUGACAGGUGGAACUUGACCCAAACAUUCUGCUCUGGAGUUUGUCCUCUUCAUCAGUGUGGUUUAUAACCUACGUGGAAAGGCAUAGCACCAGAAGGAUACAAGCAGUCCAGUUUCAUAGCUACCUGAAUCAGUAGCAGUGAUGUGAUCCCAUAGAAGCCGGAAGACUCCACCGAAUUGGCACAAAUUGGUGGGAAGUGUCAGAAUGAGAACACCACAAGAAGGUCUUUGGAGCAUUUCUCUCUGUGAAGUGAAGAUCAGCAAAGACCAGUGCAGAAGCACAGAGUUGCAGGACACGGCAAUGCAAGGGCAUCCUAUCACUGUCGUGGGGUUCCAUCUGUAUUCUUUCUAAGCAUCACAUGUUCUCUCAGAUGUCUGUUUUCAGUUAAAUAUCACAUGCCCUCUGGAAGACAGCUUCAGGGAAAACAUCACAUGACACAACGGAGGUGUUAAGAAACCAGAAAUUUCUACUUCAGACCUGUUUUACACAGCUGAUGACUUGAUUAAACUUUUGUCUACAUAGUA